GCCUGGGUGGCUCAGUGGUUGAGCAUCUGCCUUCGGCUCAGGUCAUGAUCCCAGGGUCCUGGGAUCGAGUCCCACAUCAGGCU
RNAcentral lists this transfer RNA (83 nucleotides) under Canis lupus familiaris (dog). It matches the Rfam family "tRNA". Rfam says of the family: Transfer RNA (tRNA) molecules are approximately 80 nucleotides in length. Their secondary structure includes four short double-helical elements and three loops (D, anti-codon, and T loops). Further hydrogen bonds mediate the characteristic L-shaped molecular structure. tRNAs have two regions of fundamental functional importance: the anti-codon, which is responsible for specific mRNA codon recognition, and the 3' end, to which the tRNAs corresponding amino acid is attached (by aminoacyl-tRNA synthetases). tRNAs cope with the degeneracy of the genetic code in two manners: having more than one tRNA (with a specific anti-codon) for a particular amino acid; and 'wobble' base-pairing, i.e. permitting non-standard base-pairing at the 3rd anti-codon position. The record is from Rfam by way of RNAcentral. RNAcentral also lists the same sequence under 2 other names. Lineage: Eukaryota; Metazoa; Chordata; Mammalia; Carnivora; Canidae.